RNAcentral lists this ribosomal RNA (233 nucleotides) under uncultured bacterium. RNAcentral describes it as "partial 16S ribosomal RNA". It matches the Rfam family "Bacterial small subunit ribosomal RNA", at positions 544 to 776 of the family's 1533-position model. The record is from RNAcentral.
UUCGGAUUUACUGGGCGUAAAGCGCACGUAGGCGGAUCGUUAAGUCGGGGGUGAAAUCCUGGAGCUCAACUCCAGAACUGCCUUCGAUACUGGCGAUCUUGAGUCCGGAAGAGGUGAGUGGAACUCCUUGUGUAGAGGUGGAAUUCGUAGAUAUUAGGAAGAACACCAGUGGCGAAGGCGGCUCACUGGUCCGGUACUGACGCUGAGGUGCGAAAGCGUGGGGAGCAAACAGG